Molecule: ribosomal RNA, 425 nt
Filed under: uncultured bacterium
Lineage: Bacteria
Description: partial 16S ribosomal RNA
Rfam family: Bacterial small subunit ribosomal RNA
Source: RNAcentral
GUUAGGAAUAUUGGACAAUGGGCGCAAGCCUGAUCCAGCCAUGCCGCGUGAGUGAUGAAGGCCUUCGGGUUGUAAAGCUCUUUAGUCCACGAAUAUAAUGACUGUAGUGGAAGAAUAAGCCCCGGCUAACUUCGUGCCAGCAGCCGCGGUAAUACGAAGGGGGCGAGCGUUAUUCGGAAUCACUGGGCGUAAAGCGUGCGUAGGCUGUUUUGUAAGUCAGAAGUGAAAGCCCAGGGCUUAACCCUGGAAUUGCUUUUGAAACUACAAGACUCGAAUUCGGGAGAGGAUAGCGGAAUUGUCAGUGUAGCAGUGAAAUGCGUAGAUAUUGACAGGAACACCAGUGGCGUAAGCGGCUAUCUGGACCGAUAUUGACGCUGAGGCACGAAAGCGUGGGGAUCAAACAGGAUUAGAUACCCGAGUAGUCC